Camelus dromedarius (Arabian camel) is the source of this 17229-nucleotide RNA transcript. It is a transcript of the gene named zinc finger and BTB domain containing 38, with no coding region annotated. The record is from RefSeq and is a predicted model, not a curated record. The transcript has 6 exons. Lineage: Eukaryota; Metazoa; Chordata; Mammalia; Artiodactyla; Camelidae.
UUGGCCCUGUUAUUACAUUGUAGUUUGCCUCUAAAGCAACCUGAGAUCUUUGAAAGCUCCUUGGAAGCCUCUGAUGGUCAAAGGUUUGUGUCUUUCCCACGUGAUCCUAAGGAGCUCUAUACCAGAGGCCUCACACAGCCACACCAGAGUGUGGGCACCUAAGUUUUCUAGGAGGCUCUCCUGCUGCUCUGGGUCUCAUCCAAUUGGUGUCCAUCCAAACAUUCCCACCCGAGGUUAUUUAUGCUAGAGGAGGAAGAAUGCCCGCCCCAGAGCCAGUUCUCGGGGAAAAGAAGAAUUGUUGAUAUAGCCCGAGCCCCCAGAGAGGAAAGAUUUCUCUGCAACAGCUAAAGGAAGUCAGAAUGGGUGACAUCAUCAGAAAAAUAUGUGGAGCUGAUCUCGACAAGGAGUGAAGAACCCAGAGCAAGAAAGCGGUUGUAACUCCUGAGCCCAGGGAGUUGGCAGCGUCUGGGUUUCAGAGGAGCCAGCGCCUCCGAUAUAUCAGGUUGCCUUGGAAGUGAGUCUCUGCUAAACUACUCUUCUUCGGGCUGAAAGAUCUGAAUGCUGUGACCAUUAAUUUGUUGAACCAAGACUCUGAGGCUGAUAUGCAAUGUCACUUACAACAUUAAUCAGAUACUGCAUUUAAGACCUCAAUGUGGAGAAGAUGGAGGACUCAGAACCAAGGAUUUCCAAGUGAUUUCUUCCAAAGCACGAAAAACUAACUCUGUUAAGGCUGGUCUGUUCUAACUGAGGUAACUGAAUUUGCAUCUCUCCGUAGUCUACAUGCAAUAGGGAAUGGGUUCUCUGAGGAACUGAAUGACUCUCAGGGGGCUUACGAUUUGGGCCAGGGAUCCACUAGAUUUGGGGAUUACAAAGUGACAAUGACAUUUAAGCGAACUGUUAUUAAGGAGACGUGAUGUGUGAGGGCCCUGUGAUGAAUAGGGAACUAAGUGAACGGGGCUUCAGGCCAACUGGUUUCUCGUUCCUGUUCUGCCAGUGAUUGUCGUGGGAGCGCCUGUAAGUCUCUUCUGGCUUCUUCAGGCCAGAAGGACCUACAGAUGUCACUGAGAUCCGGAGAGUUUGAAUGACUCUUCAGGGAGACCCAGUGGCGUAGGGGCAGGACUGGAGCUUGGAUCUCGAUUGCUCAGUCAGGCAGCCGGCUUCUGGGCCUGCUGUAGGGUGAGCACUGUGCUAGACACUGAGAAUACAAGCCUGAGGAGCCCACCCCCAGACACUCGCAGUUUGCACAGACAAGUAUUGACAGCCCGGCACACUGAGCUCCACCUUUGAGGCCUCCACAGAGCCCCAGAUGGUGAUAAUAACAACUAUCAUUUGUCAAGCCCUUUUGUGUGUGUGUGUGUGUGCAAGGCAGUGCAUUAAGGGCUUUAAGUGCUGUAUUUUUACUUACUCCUCAUAACACCACUGCGAAAUAAGGAAGGAUAGAUGUGAAGGAUUGAAAUGUGAAAAUGCAGGCAGGUCAUGGAGGGCUUUGCAUCUCAUAUACAUCUAGGGUGUACAUUCUGUAGGCAAAGCACAAUGCUAGGACCAUAAAGUUGCAGGGACAGUGCUUGCCCUCCAGGAGCUUGUAACCUUGACUCCAAGGAGGCGGAGUCAGGUGGGCCGCGCCUGACGUACACCCCUCUCUCCUCCACCUGCUUCUCUGACAGUCAGAGAGAGAUCUGUCACAGAAGAGGCCAGAGUAGUUGAUAUACCACAGUUCUUACCCUCAAUGCAAUUUUUCAUUCUUUUCAAAUUUAACAUACAAUUCUAUCCAUCUAUGAAAAUUUAUACUUUCACUUUAUAAACAAUAGUAAGACCGUCUCUGAAUUCAUGUAUUUAUUUGUUCAUUCAACAAAUGUUUAUUGAGCUCCUACAAGGAACUUACUUGGAUAUUCAAGACCAAAUAUAUUACUGUGUUUUUACAAUCUUGGUAUUAGCCAUCAUCAGUCUCUUAGCAAAGAAUUAUUGUUCAGCUGUUAGAGAUUCUCUGUUAACAUGCUAGACUAUCAGCUCUAGGGAUGUUGGAGAUUGACGCAUAAAUAGGAUUCCAACUGGAUAAACAGGAAAAUCUUUUUUAAAAAUCUUAAAAUCCUCAGAAAGGAAUUUCUUACUUCUCUUUUAAAUUUUGAUUUUUGCCGUCACCUACAUUUAGAGGCCUUUUAUUUAUACACUUAACCUAUAGGCAGAGUAAAAAGCAGUUUGGCCAGGGGUGGGGGGUUUUCUUUGACUUAAAAUGCUCUAAUUUUUUAGCUUGUAGGCCACCCAAGACUCAGAGUGUUCAAAAGUAAAGCAAUUUAAGGGAUACUUGAAUUUACAAGGUGCAGAGUUAGAGAUAGCUCCAAUAAUUGCAUUGAGUAGCAGAAAUCAGAUUGUAAGCCUUAAAUGCCACUUGUAAUAAACUUAAGCUCCAAAUGGAACAAAUGAGAUGCUGAGUAUGAAUGUACUUUGCAGACUCCUAGGAGUUCCAGAAAUGUUACAGCAAAUAUUUAUUGAGUACCUGCCAUGAGAUGGGGAGGACAGGCAGGGCAGAGCGCAGAGACAGGGAGAGCAGUUAGAAGGGUACCAUAGUUCACCAAGCAGAAGGCCGGAAAUGGUGACAGCAGUGAAACGGGAAGGGAGCAGAUGUGAAGGAAAGAACUGACACAGUCUGCCCUCAGAGUAGAGAAGAAGCAGCUAAAGCUGGCGCUGAGAUAUCCAGAGCAGCGGUACCCAGGAAGACAGCUUAGAUGGAGGUGACGGGCUACAUUUUCAGAGGUGCUGAGUUUGAAGUAUUGAAGCAUAAUGUCCCUGAGAUGAUCUGGGGAUUUGCAACCCAGAGAAAGGCCAGGGCUAGUUUGGGAGUCACUGGGAUCUAGAAGUCAAGAGGUGAGAGAGGAGAUAUUCCAGUGGGAGGAUAUAGGGAGGAAAAGCUUGAGGAUGGAAUUGGAUGAGAAAAGAAGGACCUACGGAGGACCUAGAGAAAAGUCUGGCGAGAGAGUGAGGAAGAACAAGAGAAUAGGGCUCCAGAAGCCAGAAGAAGGGGGUUUCCCAGAGAAGGGAGCCUGGAGUGUCAGACUCAGGAAGGGGAGGAGGGGUGGCCCAGGAAGGCCAUUGGAUUGACAAGUGCUAGGUCACACAUUUGUUGGCAUUUUCCUUUGUAAGGCACUGUGACUUGCAGAAUGAAUAUCAAGUGGUUUCGUCUGCAAAAAUUUGUAGCUUGCACACAUCAAGAAUCACUGUUAAAUUUGACCCUAGUAAGCCUCUAGUAAUCACACUUCUGAGUACUACAAUUCAGGCAGUUAAAUGUGAUUUUGAUACUAGUCGUACACUUUAUUCUGUGGUCAACAGACCGACCAAAGAAUAUCCGGUGAUAGAUAAUUCUUUAAAAACUACAUUGCUGUUGAUGCAAAGGUUUCUGACAGUAAUUAAAUUUUUAUUUUGCCUUUUGCCAUAUGGCUGUUGUAUGACAUGAGAGAGAGAGAGAGAAUGUAUGUGUGUUUUCAUGGGCAUAUGAGCUUAGGACAAUGGAAUGAGAAGGCUGGGGUCAGAUAAAUCUAGUUUCACAACCUAGCUGGGCUAUUUUCCAGGGUUGUGACUCCAGAAAAGUUACUCUCUCUCUAAGCCUAACUUUUUCCAUCCAUCACUCAAAUAGGAUUAUUUUGAAGAUUGAGUAAUAUAUAAUUUGGUCAGGAUCUAUAUCAUAACAGGCAGUUAAUAGAUGCUGAUUCCCUUCCCCUUACAACCUUCUUUAGGUAUGUACAUUUCUGCAUAAUGAUCUUCUACAGGCAGAGCCUUACCUUUACGAUUCAUUUUAAUGUGUUAAUUUUGUCAUGGAAAGUGCAUGCCUCCUGUGAGAGUUUAAGUGACCUGCAAUUUCAUAUAGACAAGAAUCCAUCUGGGGAUUUUUGUUAAAAUGUAGGUUCCCAGGUCCCUGGCACAGAGAUUCUAACUCAGUAAAUUUCAGAUGGGACCCCUGAGAAUCUUCAUUUUAAACAAGCACAGCUGUGAUGAAGAUCAACAAAUGCCAGUUUCUAGGAAGUAGAGGAAGGGAGUAGACCUGAGCCUUGAUAGGCUGAUGAUUUCAGAUCCAGUUUCUAUUAAAGACAUGUGGAUGCUCAAAAGCUUUGUAUCUGUAUUAUUAAUGUUCAUGGAUUAUAUUUGUAAUAAGAUGAAACAAAUGGAUCCCAGCUAGUCAAGGAAUGGUGGUGUUAUUGCCCCGCCACCAUCGCCAUCUGCAGUGUAUCCACAGCGGUACUGAGCAACACACAGCCCCCACGUCAGCUUCUUUUCCUGUGGAGUAAGUGGUGACACCCUGACCCUAUGCCCAGAGUUUGCAAAACCAGUGUAACCUGAAUGUUGUUACCAAUAAUAUAUUUAAUGGCAGUAACAGAGCACAGUCAUGCCAGUAAAAUAUUGUGAUGGAUUUGUCUAUCUGACUCUGUGUCUUCUGGUUGAUAAAUAUCUAUGUCAUUAUAUUAUAUUCCUCUCAUUCUCUGCAUCUUGGAAUCAUAAUUUUUAGGCUAGUUCAUGUUGUUCCUCUAUCCCAACCUAAUUUUAUAGAUGAGAGAAUAAUUUAUCCUUUCUUCCCUCCUAUUCCUAGCGCUCUUCUUUGCAAAAGGAUUGAAGUGUAUUUACAUGGUUGGUGUUAAGCUGUGUAUGGAGAAUAUAAAACAUAUUUGACUUGUGUAUAUUAAAUUGUGCUUUAUGUUCCUGGUAUAUAAUUUAAAAAUCAGGUGACUUAACAGGGCUAUAUUUAUUAAAACUAUACUGAGUCAUUUCAUAACAUGGUUGGCAUUUCACUGAUGGGUUAGUUCUUUUGGAGCAGGAUGCCAGUGGCCUAGAGCCUUGCCUAGAAUCAGGUUUUCUCUGUCUAUACCCCUAACCUGAAGGGGAGAAAAACAGAACUGACUUUCAUGGAGUCCAUUCUGUACCUUAUGUGCAUUAUCUCAGCCAUCUUAUUAGAACCUCCAGAUAACCUGGUGUGGUGGAAGUUGAUGCAAAGAGGUUCAGUAAUGCUGUAGAGAUGAGAUUUUUUUUUCCCCCACACCCUGGGCUCUUACCUGACUUCAAAGUCCAGCCUCCUCUCACCACAUCACAUGUUGUUUUUCCAGCUACAUAUUAUGAGUAUGAAAUAGAUCAUUGUUCCUGAUAAUGACUUAGAGACCCUUGUCCCUGAUAUUACAGUAACCUCAGAAUUUUUGACAAGAAGCAAAUGGACAGAGGUAAUGUGCAAACUUGAAUUUUUCAACAAAGAUCAACUAUGCCAGGUAUCAGAUCAGGACCCCACCCUCAUGGGGCUUCCUUAUCUUUCUCACCUGUUCUUAUCUACCAUCUAAGUGCUGCUGCAGGCUUUUCUUUUAAAGUGGAAACACCAAUGGAUUUCUGCACUGAUAAGAACAGUGUCUUACUAUAGCUGUCACUGUCCUUGUGCCGGGCUGAAUGUUCCCAGAGUCACUCUAGCAUUUUGAAAGUUUAAAGCAGUUCCUUGGGGGCUUGCCCAGAGGUGCACAGUAAGUGUUUGUUGAUUACCCUCUGAGGCCCCAGGGAAGUCUGCAGGGAACAAGGGAAUAGCACUGAGCCCUGCAGAGGGGGUGUUGGGGGAUGCAGAAGACCACAGUGUAAGAAGCAAGACAGGAGGCCUGGAACUUGUCCCUGUGACCCACUGUGUAACUUUGGGAAAGAAAAUCAUGUAACUUUUCUGGCUUGGUUUCCUCACCUGUAACCAGAGAAGGUUUGGCUCAAUGAUGACAAAGCUUCCUUCCAGCUCUUCAGUGCAGUAAUUCGACUUCCUGUCUGACAGAAAAGUGGAGGGACUGAGACAAGCAGGUGGUAAACUCCAUGUUUGAGGUCUGCCAGGGGUCCUGAUUGCAAAGCUCCUUCCAACUGUCCUCAGAGAGAUACUAGUACUGGCUAGACUUUGGAUUCUGCCUUUACCCCGUACGCUUUUGAGGAAAGUGCAUGAAUUUAAGGGUGGGAGAGAUUGUCUGCUUUGGAGGAAAUAAGAAUUCUUAUUUGGAAGGAUUGAUUGGGAAUCAGUCAAAAGGUGACAGAAUAGGAGGUAGGAAAUCCCUUUAUUAAGGUUUAUGGCAAGAAAGAACCUUAGAAAUAAACUAGCCCAACCUCUUUGCAUUCCGGAUAAGGAUACGGAAGUCCAGGGAAAUUCGUAGGGUUUGCUCAGGGUCACACGGCUAGUGGCAAACACGGAACAGAAGCCAGUAUCCCCUGUCCGUUCAGUACGGUCUCUGCAGAAAGGGGUAGGUCCUGUCCUAAGGCAGAUUGUCAGGAGAGCAGGAGAUGGUAGUCAGCGCGCAAAGCCUAAGGAGGUGGCAGGAUUGUUCUGUUGGAGAGAGCAGCCCAUGAUGCCUGCUGGGCUUCUAGCAGACGUGGCUGGAAGGACACCACAACAUGAACCUCCCAUCCCGUUUGAAGCACUGGGACUCUUGUCAAUUAAGGUAGUCAAGAACAUUUCUUUUUAAUCUGGGAGAGGAAGAAAGCUGUUUCCUAUUUUUUAAAGCAUUUUACCUCUCUUAUUUAAGUGAAAAUUGCUCAAGUCUGCAAUGAUUUAAUUUUGAGAGGAAUGAAACAUUUUCUCGGGGAGUAUGAAGACCCAGCUUCCAGCUUCCACACCCCAUGUUGUUGGUCCCUCCUCUGCGUGUGUUCAUCCCAGGGUGCCUUGUUAUCGUGAGAAGUCCAGUAGCUGUUCGAGUCCUAGAGACACAUCCUGGGGUUGUUGCAGCAACCCCUGAAGGCCGGCUUUGUGCCAGGUGAGACAGACAGAAGCUGCCACUUCCUGCUUUGUGAGUCGGAUAUUGUAUCUAGGUCCCGUUUUGUUUGUGUUAUUUUUCCUGUUUGUGUGUUAGAACGACUUCUGAUUAUUUGUAGAGUUGAUUACAACUGGGUAAUAAGGCCAGCAAUUCAGUGAAAACAAAAGUGAAUUUAUUAUCGUGCCAGGCAAGAGAGACCACAAUGUUCAGAAUCAGUCUCCCCAAACAUACAUGCAUUUUCAUGGAAGCAUGGAGAUUUCUGAUUAACUCUAAUAGGACGCGGAAUCGCUUCUAGACCAAAGUGAGGAUUUUCUGUUUUCAAAACCUCGGCAUUCUGGUCUGCGCUUGCUUAUACUUAUUUAUUCCGGUCUUGUAGUCUCUGACCCGAACUUGGGGAGCAGGGGUCCCUGGGUCUCGGGGUGUUUGAUGCUCACCAGGGGAGGCAGUAGCCAGUCAUGCCAGCUUUCUGGGUGCCUGCUGCGAAUGCCUCCUGUGGUGUGCUCUGCCCUUCCCUUGGGCGAAUGCACAUUCUACCUUUGCUCUAAUAUGGGAAGGGGUGGGAGGACCACUUUGAGGCAGCAGAAGGCACUAGGAUAGGCGGAAAAAUAGAUGACGUGGCAGAAUGGGGUUUUACUCAGACAUUAGAGAACUGGCCUUCCCCGGGUGCUGUGCUAAAUCGGGUUAAAAAAAAAAAAAAAGAGAGAGAGAGAGAGAAAGAAAAAGAAAAAAGCCUGACCUUUAGAAUUUUUCCUGUCAAGGUCUAGCAAUUCUGGAGUUUCUUUCUCCAUUCUACGCUGUAAGCGGGCUUUUUGCACAGGAGCACCGUAAAUUACCCGGGAGAACAUUUCUUCCUAAAUGAAUAUGCGCUACGAAGCGAGUUCUUACCUUGUUUGAUUGUUUAUUUAAUAGUCUCAAUAUUUGUUUUUGCUUUUGACGUUUUGCAGGAAAUCACUCAAGAGCUUUGUGCCCUGUUUGAAUGGUCUAUUUUAAGACUCUUUUCUAUUUAAUGAUAGGCGUUUCUGAUAAGAUGAUUUGUGCUUCUCUCUAUUUUAGGAAAUACUUUUUGAGGUCUUGUGUGUGUGUUUAAGCUUUUAUGAAGCUUAAACGGGGGGAGUCUUCCCUCCAAUCCUAGCAGCUACCUUGUAUUAAAAAUGACCUAUUUUUCCCCCCACGAGGUUCCCUUAUUCAGGGAGGAUAAUAAAAGUCGGGUGAUUAGUCAUUGUGGCGUUCAGCAAACAAAUACUUUGGAGGCCAUGAUUUAUGUUACUGGUCGGAAAAAAAGGUUCUAUCUGUCUCUAGACAAGGACUCCUGUGAAAGGUACGGGCCCUGUGUUCCCAGAAGGUCCCUUGAGUGCCCUGCUUGUUGUGUUCAGGUUUCUAAAACCCGGUGGCCAUUUUCUGUGAGUUUGAAUCCCUGGGUUAAACUCCUCCCCCUGUGGAGUCUAUGAGCAUUUGUUUUCUAAAAUGAAAGCACAGGCAGAAACUCGAGCUGUUCUGCAGAACAGCCUGUUCUGUAGAUUUUUUUUUUUUUAGAUCCGUAUAUUUAAAGCAUAAUUUUUCUAAACAGCCUAUUGUGGGUUUUUAUCUGCAGUGGGUUUGGGUUUGUUUUGGGAAUUUUACUUCUUUUAAAUACAGACAACAUAGUUAUUGAUGUAACUGCUCCCUGUUCCCCUCACCCCCCCCCCCCAGAUAAUUUCACUGUAAAACAGGUGAGCAGGGGGAACUGUUUGGAUACCUACUGCCAGAAACCUUCAUUUAGUUUUAAUUAAAUUUCUUUCAGGGUAAAAUUGGCUAAAGCUAACUGGAACUUAGUUCUUUAAUACUCUUCCCUCCCUCCGCCCAACAGUUUUCCCCAGUUGAUUUCUUUUGUCUAAACCACUGUGCAUCCAUUUGUGUGACUGGCCAGAGUUUUUUGUAGCAUUUCCGCAGUACAAAAAAGCUAAGCUUCUAUGCCUCUGGGCGUAGGUGAGAUCGGCGGGUGGGCUUGCUUGACAGCUCUGCAAGUCACCUGUGUCUGGGUAGAGGUGACUGUUUCACAAUCCUGUGCUGCCUCAGAGAUGUGCGCGGCCAUGCCUGGCCUCCCUCCAGAGAUUGCAGUGUUGCCAGCAGUGGCUUCAAACUGGAAAAAUGGGAGGUGGAACUGUGGAAAACCGGGGAGGAGGAAAUGUGUGUGCAAGGAAAGUAUGUCCGUGGACUCAAAUAUCUGAGUGCUCCAUAAAAAUGAUCUCUGUACAUUGGCGUUUUGUGUCUGGAACCAAGUGGGGAACCACCAUGAAUGGGGGACUGUCUAAUGGUGGGGAGGGGGCCUGGUGGAGCAGGGCAAGAGCAUCAGCAGCUCUUCUCCAGGAGGUCCCCACCAGCAUGCAGAGGCUUACACUGCUGUCCAGACUAAAGGGAUCAGCUCUGCACUGCCCCCCCACCUCCCAACAUCUCUAGAGCGGGAUUUGCUUCCUUGGGUUGACCGCCAUUGUUCCACUGAGUACUUCUCAGAGAUUCCCCGAGGACGCUUGUGAUCUUGCUGGGUAUGCUUUAUCAUGUCGACCCCACUGUUUGACCUCCAGGCUCCAUUCCUGUGAUCUAGGUUUUAGAAUUGGUAUUGUCUGUGUGAUGCAGUGAUGGAGUGUGAUAUCAAUUCAGAAUACUUUGAGCCACUAAGUGGCUAUACCUGCUCAGCAAUUACUGCUCCCCUCGUUACAUCACCUGCUCGUGAUGAAUGGGGAACCCGCUUUUGAAAUGGAGAGCUGCGUGCCUCUGAGACUGUGAGUCUGAUUGUGUGGAGGGCUCAUUAGGAGUUACCAUGUCCUUCUCGAAGCUUGAGCAGACUCUAUCAUUAAAUGACUUUGAAGUAAAGUGAGUUUGAUACCUGUCCCCCUGUCCCCCAGAAUUCAUCUAUUAGGAAACUUUCCACAUGGGAAGGAACAAACUGGAGGGAUUCUGAAGAAACAUUAUGCGACCCAAAUAUAUUCCAUGUUAAGGCUUCUCCCAGCUACCAUUCUUUAAGAUGGAAUACUUUGGUAGUUUUGAAAGCUUGAAUACUGAUAUCUCACCAUUUAAAUUUUAGGAAGAUGAUGACUCACAGUAUAGAGACUGAAAUGUUACAGGCUUACGUGAUCUGUCCUUAUGUUAUAGAUUAGGGUCUAAAAUUCAGGUACAUUCAGGGACCGGAAGGUAAUAUGAAUGUUCAGUGUGGGCUGGGUAUCAGAAGAUAGAGUGGUUAGAUCGUGGCAAACUGGGGGCAUUAAACCUUUCUAAAAUACCAUGGACUGAAUGAAACCGUUCUGCUGGCCGAGUUCAGCCUUUGGCCUGCUGUUUUGCACAGCAGUUGUAGAGCUACGCCAUCUGACUCCAUCCACCAGUCUGGAUUUCCUCAGUGGCAGCCUGCCCAGCCUUUUCCUGCAGAGCAUUGGGCUUGAAGCUCUCCAAGACCCAGCCCAAGAAAAACUCAGAGCCAUUGAAUCUUCUCUGUGUCACAGCAAAUAAAAGAGCAACUUUGAAAUGAAGUGUGUCCGUCUCAUACAGGCAAAGUGAUUUGUUAGGAGAGUCAGCAAUGGAACACAGUUUGUGUGUCCAAGGACAUCUGGAGAGGCAUCAGACAUAGCAGCCUUGAUUAAGCUUCCCAGUACUCAGUGUGCCCAUCUCGGGACAGAACAGGAAGAACCCACCAAAGGGAGCCCCUCCUUUUCCGGGCAUGUCACUCCCAAGGCAGCUGAAAGAAGCCAAGCCUGCAGAGGCUAACCUGGAUGGCACUGGGCCACGGGGUGACAGCAGAGGAUGGCAGGCAUUUCUUGAUAUACCUGGUCUAUGGUAUUGACCUGCGUGGCCCAAGGAUGCUUUGUGAAAUAUCAGGCAGUUAGCAACUUCCUAACUAGUCCUAGACUGGGACAAUGUGAGAAUUGUCCUCUCUCUGUUGACACUCGAAUGACCUUCUGCACAUCCUGGAAUUUAUAAUGCCUUCCCUUUUUUCUAAACAUCUUUUAAUCACUCUCAUUUUCGUCAGCUCUCAUGGUGCUAAGUGAGUCAUAAUGUCUGUAAAACACUUCGCACAGGGCCUGGCUUGUAGAAAGUGCUCGGUAAAUAUUAGCUUUUAUUGUCAUUGGCAUCAUCAUCAUCGCCAUUAUAACUAUUGCCAUUUCCCCAGCAGAUACAGAAACUUGGCUUCCUUAAACGUUGAACUUGGUUGUGUACCUCCACCAUCUCUAGCCUGACAUAACUGAGGAUGGACCACACGUACAUAAUCCACUGUGCCAGAAAAUGCACUUAACAUGAUCCCCACUGACUCACACACAGUAGUGUUCGGGGAGCACUACUCUAGACGCUGGCGGAGCACAGAGACAGACUUGCAUAGAGAUUGGUCCUCGUGGACUUACUAGCUAGGAGGUACUUUGGGGCAGUCUUGGGAGAGGCUGAGGGGGUGCCUUUUACAUUAUGCUGUAGGGGUGUAUGAUGGGGUGGCUUUGAUGACACUAAGAAUCUGAUUCUGAAAGGCUACUGUCUCCUGGCUGUGACUUUAACCUUAAGAAAGCACCUGGUUCCUCCCCUCUCCCUCCCUCUCUCCCCUCCCCCAUGCCAUUGACCUUCUGGCCAUGCAAACCCUGUUGCCAAGACGGGAAAUAUUCCUGUUAAAGGGUAGGAAACCUUUGUGUGUCAGGGAGCCAACACAAAGAGUAACAGGUUAGGGUAGGACUUUAAUGACAGAACAGAUAUCAAUGUAAAAGUGAGGGCAGUCGGUCUCAGUGAAGGUUUUGGGACCCUGGUAGGUGAUGAGAAGGAAGGUGUAACUGAACUUUCUUUAAUGCUGGUGACUGGGAGCAUUGCCUGUUCCUAAGAAACAUUUUGAAAAAUAGAAAUAACCAAUCCCGUGCUGUCGUUGCUGUCAUGCUGAUAUACUGUUUGGUUUGGAAGCUACUAAGGUGGUGAGGAGAAAAGGGCCAUAGUAUCUUAGAGAUGAAAUCCUAGCUUCAUAGCAAAUUAGUUUAGUUUAGAAAGUGAAUUAACCAAAAGCCUUUUCAGCCCUUCAAAGCUCUCACCUGUAUUUUGAGGGUAAUGUGGUUUAGCGUUUUGUUAAUUUAUGAUCGUGGUGAUGUUUUCCAUUCUGUAUGGCACUUUCAAAUGGCCCAGGCCCUAGGCUGCCCAAGACUUGGAAAUGCAGCUGCAUAAUUAGUGGUCCUGGAAAUGGCUCUCUCUUCUUGUUUUCUGCCACCUCUUCCUGCCACUGUUGGGGAACUUAGCUUGAAGUACUGGAUCCCAGUCCCCUCUCCCCAUCCAUCCAGAUGAGUUACUGCCGUGGUGCCUGGUCGCCCCUCCCAAGAUAGGUCUACAUCCCCAAAGCUGGGAAUGUGGCCUUUUUGGAAAAAAGGUCUUUGCAGAUGCAAACUUUUUAAGGAUCUUGAGAUAAGUUCAUCCUAGAUUAUCAGGUGGAUCCUAAAUCUAAUGGUAAGUGUCCUUAUAAGAGACACAGAAGAGAGACGCAGGAAGAGGAGAGGGCCAUGUGAAGAUGAAGCAGAGAUUGGAGCUCUGUGGCUACAAGCCGAGGAACCAGGGACCAGCAGAAGCUAGAAGGGGUGAGGAAGGAUUCUCCCCGCCGAGUCUUCAGAGAGAACAUGGCCCUGCCAACACCUUAAUUUUGACUUCUGACCUCCAGGACUAUAAGAGAAUAAAUUUUUCUUGUUUUUAAGUCACUAAGUUUAUGGUAGCUUGUUCAGCAGCCUCAGGAAACUGAUACAGUGUCAAACCUAGCUUUGUUCCCAAAGUGCCUGGAAACUUAUUAAAAAUCAGUUUCUGGGGUCUUACCCCUGGCUGUCUGAUUCAGUCAGUCGGGGGUGGCGCCAAGAAACUAAGUUUUUAAUAAGAGCCUCCAGGUGACGCUUGGACAUCCAUUACCCUCUCAGUAUCAGUGUUCCUCAGUGCCGCCUUUUGGGUUACUUUCUUUUCACCCGCUUUCCUUAGGCAUUAUCCAUACUCAUGUAUGCAGCCGCCUCCUGUGUGUCCAUGCACUGUACAGCUGAAUCUUCAGCCCUGCUUCCUUUCGGCGUCAAAUCCACGAUGGAUGCCUGUUGGUUGAGGGGGCCACCUGUGUCUUCCACAGCCUCCUCUGAGGGAGCCCAGACCUCGUUCUCCUCCCAGACCAGCUCUUUGAUCUGGGUCCCUACCUGUUAAUGACCCAUCUAGGCCACAGAACUGGUGUGUCAGCCUUCAUCCUUCCCUCUUUCUUGCUCCCUCAGUUUCCGACUAGUUGAUUUCUUCCAUCCAGAUGGCUUUUCUUUCCUUUUUUGUCAUCCCCACCUGUUUCCUUGCCUUCUUUCCAGCCCCACUCCAGACAGCCUUCUCAUCAGACUGUUCCUGUCUGCGAAUGUGUCAGAUGAUUCCUGUUUAGACUGCUCCCAGAAUGACCUGUCUGCAAAUUUGUCAGAUGAUUCCCACUUCAUAUCUUUUAAAUGACGCACUGUUGUCUGGGCUGCACAUUGGAAUCACCUGGAGUUGUUGGUUUUGUUUUUUUUUUAAUCUCAAUACGUAGCAUCCACCCAAGACCAAACAAAUCAGAAUCUCGAGUUGGAGCCUGAGUGUUGGUAUCUUUUUCAGGUUCCCAUGGGUGAUUCUAGUAGGCAGUUAUGGGUUGAGAACUACCAGGCUAGAAGAUAAAGUCCAAAGUCAUCGUGAUGCUCUCUUCACGACCGGGUCCCUGACCAGUUUCUCCCUCUCCAUCUCCCAUCCAGCCCUGCCCUUGCUGCUUGCAGCAGACAUCCCCACCCCUUUGCCAUUCCCCAAAUGUGUCAUUCCGCUUCCUGCCUCCUUGCCUUUGCUUGACCUCUCCCUGAAAUAGAAUGUCUUUUCCCCUCUUGGAUUCCAAAGAAAGGCUCCCUAUCUUUCAAGAUUUGUCUCCACCUCUCCUUCCCUGACUCUCCUUCCCUAGGCUCAGUUGAAGGCUGCCUCCUCCAAAGCCCUGGGCACGCUCACUAGAGCGCAUCCAUCAUCACAGAGGAGCUGUCUGUCUCCUCCAUUGGACUGUGGGCUCCAGGAUGUUGCUGGAAGGGGAAAGAAAAAAGGAUUAAACAAGGCCAAGGGAAUGGGAUGGUUUUUCUGCUUCUCUGAAUGAUUGUACCCACACUGCCUGAUAGCUCAUCAGAUACUUGUUAAGAAAACAAAACUCUGCUUGGUUUUAAUGAAUGUGAUGAAGUUGUAGUAGUAGUAAUGUGUAAUACCAUUAAUUGAACCCUUGCUAGCUAAAGUCUCUACAGUCAUUGCCUCAUUUAACCAUCAGAGUAAUCAUCUCAAGUAUCAUUCCCACUUUAGAGAAUGAAUUAAACAAAAUAUUAUGAGGUUAGAUACUGGAAAAUGGCAGAGAAUAUGAAGUAGAAUGCAUAGAUGAUCACCUGAGCAGCAGUAUGUCAAUGGUAUGUAGGCUGAUCAGGGAAAAACCAGUUUAAUUGGGUAAAAAUAGCUAAUGAUUUGUAGGUUUUUUUUUUUUUGAGUGGCAAAUACACAUUUGACACCAAAUUUGGCAUAAAACAAACACAGCCAUUAAGCAUAUCAAUCAGAAGAUGUGAUGGUGACUUACACUAACAUUUGGAAUCCCAUAAAUGUAGUCUUCCUUUUAAGUAUGCUGGAAGGAGUUUGUGACCCAGAGUCACAAGAUCAGGGGCGAAAACCCAGCUUGCCAAUUAUAAGCUGUGUGGUGGUGGGAUUUUGGCUUAAUUUUUUCCGAGCUUCAGCCUCUUCAUCUUUGAAAUGGAAAUAUUGUUUCACAGCCCACAGGGGUGUCAUGAGAAAGAAGAGGAGACCCUGUGUAUGAAAGUGAUUUGUAAAUGGUGUAGGGCUGAACAGGAAGAAGGUGAGGUGUUCUUGUCUUUGUUCUGUGUUUGGGUCCAGAAAGUUGGCGUUUGGGAAGAGUCCGGAUGGGGAAGGCGGUGUUCUACCGGGUGGGCCAAUAUGGGCACAGAAACAAUUGCCACUGCCCGAAUUUCCUGGUGGGGCAGGGUACCAGGAUUCUGGGAUGGGAGCCCCUGAGAAACAGAUGGCCUGAACUAGUUAGGGAGGAUGAAGGAAUGAGAAGAAUGGUUUGAAAGUUAGAGUCUUGCUGUGCUUAUGAUACAGUGGAGCUGAGAGGAUGUCACGGUCAGGGUUUUGCAUUGGGUCACCUGUAACCAAGGACCAACCCAGGGACCACCAAUCAGCUCCAAAGGCUUGAAAUCUUGUUCUUUCACUCGUAGGUUAUUCCUAACAAUUUCAACCCCAGCAGCUCUGAAGUUUUCUGGAUGUCAGUGCAAGUGCUCACUCACCUCGAGGUCUGGGUGUCUCCAUUCCAAACACGUGUUGACACACCAGGGCUUCUCCUCACAGGGUCAUGGCUGCUUCCUGAUAGGGUGGCUUCAACCUCCUUCCUCUUUAAAGGUGAAACCAAGGCUUUGUCUUUUUUAUUCUAAUAGAUCGAAAAAUAUUUUCUGAGUCACCAUCAGUAUAACAGUCCCAGUCUUGAAAUAUGAUCUGGGUGGGUUAGAAGAGUGGUCACAUUCUGCUGCUCUCCAGAGGGGAGACUUUUUGUCUCAGACAUCACCACCCUAAACUUAGCUGAAUGUUUCCGGAGUGGGAAUCAGGGUAACAUGUCUAAGGAAUCGGUAGGUAUAUUUUAAGACUGAAUUGACGUCCUAAGAUAUUCCAGCAGGCUAGCGAUAAAGGACCAAGGCUGCUCCUUGGUUACAGGUGACCCGAUGCAGACAUCAAGUGAACACGAUUCCAUUUAACCAGAAUGAGUGAUUUUUUGAGUUUCAGUUUAAAAGUUCAGCCAUGGAAGUUGGGAAGCCAAGGAGGAAGAAGAACUCAAGGGAAGAAAGGAGAAGUCCAUGCCAAAAAAAAAAAGAAAAAGUCUGUGUAUUAUAAAUAAAAUCAGUGAUCACGCACUUAGUAUUUGCUGUGCACUUGCACUGGCUGAGUGCUCCGAAACUCUCCUUUAAUCCUCCCAGCACCCCAUGAAGCGUGUAGGAUUUGUUCCAUUUUGUAUGUGAAGACACUGAGGCUUAGGGAGGUCAAGUACAUUCUAGUGUGAGCGGGUCCCAGCAACUGGCAGUUGAGGAGUACGGUGUACUGCAAGGUGUAGGGGCCAGAAGGCUGCAAACCUGUUUUGGUGACACCAUGAGACCUUAGGCCGGUCAUUCUACUUCUCCGUGCCUCUGUUUUCUCAUGUCUGAAAUGAGAGGGUGAGGCUAAACUAGCUCAAGUUUCUUGUCUAAAAUUCUCUUUGUUGGGGCAUCAUUGGAGUUGGUGACGUUUAGCCCCGGAAAGGGACAUGCAGAGGAGCCAUUCUGGGCUGUCACGUGGCAGAGGCUGCAGCUGAGGGCCCGUCAGCAGCUCCCCGUGAGGACUGCGCCUCUCAGGAGGAAAUGCCCACACUGGGUGGAGUGGUCCCCACCCCUGGUCUGAAGAAUCUCUAGAAUCCGUUUGUGGCAAAUUAAGGAGUUAGAAGGUGCACUCCACUAAGAAGCUUGCUCUCUUUGCUUUUUGUUUAUCUCAAACACCCAGGGUCUGUUUACUUUGAAGCGAGGCUCCCUCCUCUGCCCAUUUUCAGUAGGGUUUCGGGGACUGGAUUCCCAGUCACUCGGGACCAAGGAGCUUGUCUUUGUGUGGACUCAGCACCAUCUUGUGGACAUGGCCCUGUGAACGGGGAGUGGACUCUGGUCAUCAGCCGUGAAGGGACGGCAGGACACAUCCCUGGGAGAGCUGCUGCCAGCGAAGGGCUCUGUCUAAGGGGUGGUGUUUCUAAAAGGGGCUGCCUGUGCUCAGAGCUGGGAGCUGCCUUGGGGAAUUUACUUUCAUGACUCUAACCCUGUUGUUACGCCCAUGACGCUGGAAGAGCAGAGUGGGCAGGCUGGUGACACAGUAGCCGGACCUUCCCAGAUACAGCACUGGGUCCUGUUUCCUAGGGAGGGAGUCAGUACAGAGGCCUCCUCAGGAGGGAGCCCCAGGCCCCUUCCCCUCUGGCCUCCCUCCCCCUGUAUCGUGCAUCCAGGCCCACCUCUCCUGAUCUGGGACUCCACCCUGCCGCCUCUCCUUCUUGCUGGCAUCCAUUGCCACUCAGAGCAUAAGCUGCCUUACCAUGCUUAAAGGCCUCCUUCCCAGCAAGGUGAGGGUGGGACAGAUUGAAGUUGUGACGGGAACAGAGCACUUGGGUUGGAAAAUGCUUUGCCUUCCCUGACCCUGUCUUCUAACACUGGUGAGGCCAGCCACCGCGAGGCUUUUGCUAUUUCUGUGUGUGAAGAAACUGAGUGAUAAUCUUAUCCAGGGCUGAGAGGAUGGUCUGAAGACAGUCUUGCUCAGUGCCUUUACCAGAUGGGAAAGAGCAAACUGUGGACCUAGAGAGGCCACUUGAAGCGUAGGAGCUCUCUCUGGUUCUUCAGUGCCCCAGCCUCCUCUCCUCUGCUUAUUCUUCACAGAAGGGUUGGCAGGGGGCUGUGGGGAUAUUUUUAAUGGACAUGCAGGACAUCCCAAAACAGUAGAG